GUGCCAAGCAGCCGCGGUAAUUCCAGCUCCAAUAGCGUAUAUUAAAGUUGUUGCCGUUAAAAAGCUCGUAGUCGAACUUCGGCGCCUGAUGGCCGGUCCGCCUUCUUGGUGUGUACUUGCUCAUCGGGCGCUUACCUCCUGGUGAACUCUGAUGUCCUUUACUGGGUGUCAGAGCAAACCAGGACGUUUACUUUGAAAAAAUUAGAGUGUUCAAAGCAGGCCUACGCCCGAAUACAUUAGCAUGGAAUAAUAGAAUAGGACGCGCGUUCCCAUUUUGUUGGUUUCUGAGAUCGCCGUAAUGAUUAAUAGGGAUAGUUGGGGGCAUUUGUAUUCCGUCGUCAGAGGUGAAAUUCUUGGAUUGCCGGAAGACAAACUACUGCGAAAGCAUUUGCCAAGGAUGUUUUCAUUGAUCAAGAACGAAGGAAGGGGGAUCGAAAACGAUCAGAUACCGUUGUAGUCUCUUCUGUAAACUAUGCCAAUUGGGGAUUAGCACAGGAUUUUCAAUGACUGUGUUAGCACCCGAAGAGAAAUCUUUAAAUGAGGUUCGGGGGGGAGUAUGGUCGCAAGGCUGAAACUUAAAGGAAUUGACGGAAGGGCACCACCAGGUGUGGAGCCUGCGGCUUAAUUUGACUCAACACGGGGAAACUCACCAGGUCCAGACACAAUAAGGAUUGACAGAUUGAUAGCUCUUUCUUGAUCUUGUGGUUGGUGGUGCAUGGCCGUUCUUAGUUGGUGGAGUGAUUUGUCUGGUUAAUUCCGAUAACGAACGAGACCUUAACCUGCUAAAUAGACCAGUCGACUUUGGUUGACUGCUGUCUUCUUAGAGGGACUAUCAGCGUUUAGCUGAUGGAAGUUUGAGCAAUUACAGGUCUGUGAUGCCCAA
Molecule: ribosomal RNA, 883 nt
Filed under: uncultured eukaryote
Lineage: Eukaryota
Description: SSU rRNA
Rfam family: Eukaryotic small subunit ribosomal RNA
Source: RNAcentral